Molecule: ribosomal RNA, 434 nt
Filed under: uncultured bacterium
Lineage: Bacteria
Description: partial 16S ribosomal RNA
Rfam family: Bacterial small subunit ribosomal RNA
Source: RNAcentral
AGCGAACGCUGGCGGCAGGCUUAACACAUGCAAGUCGAACGGGCAUAGCAAUAUGUCAGUGGCAGACGGGUGAGUAACGCGUGGUAACGUACCUUUUGGUUCGGAACAACACAGGGAAACUUGUGCUAAUACCGGAUAAGCCCUUACGGGGAAAGAUUUAUCGCCGAAAGAUCGGCCCGCGUCUGAUUAGCUAGUUGGUAGGGUAAUGGCCUACCAAGGCGACGAUCAGUAGCUGGUCUGAGAGGAUGAUCAGCCACAUUGGGACUGAGACACGGCCCAAACUCCUACGGGAGGCAGCAGUGGGGAAUAUGGGACAAUGGGCGAAAGCCUGAUCCAGCCAGGCCGCGUGAGUGAUGAAGGCCCUAGGGUGGUAAAGCUCUUUUGGGCGGGAAGAUAAUGACGGGACCGAAAGAAUAAGCCCCGGCUAACUUCGU